RNAcentral lists this ribosomal RNA (460 nucleotides) under uncultured bacterium. Its description in RNAcentral is "partial 16S ribosomal RNA". It matches the Rfam family "Bacterial small subunit ribosomal RNA", at positions 338 to 795 of the family's 1533-position model. The record is from RNAcentral.
CCUACGGGGCGCAGCAGUGAGGAAUAUUGGUCAAUGGACGAGAGUCUGAACCAGCCAAGUAGCGUGAAGGAUGACUGCCCUAUGGGUUGUAAACUUCUUUUAUAAAGGAAUAAAACGAGGCACGUGUGCCUUUUUGCAUGUACUUUAUGAAUAAGGAUCGGCUAACUCCGUGCCAGCAGCCGCGGUAAUACGGAGGAUCCGAGCGUUAUCCGGAUUUAUUGGGUUUAAAGGGAGCGUAGAUGGGUUGUUAAGUCAGUUGUGAAAGUUUGCGGCUCAACCGUAAAAUUGCAAUUGAUACUGGCAGUCGUGAGUACAGUUGAGGUAGGCGGAAUUCGUGGUGUAGCGGUGAAAUGCUUAGAUAUCACGAAGAACCCCGAUUGCGAAGGCAGCUUACUAAACUGUGACUGACAUUGAUGCUCGAAAGUGUGGGUAUCAAACAGGAUUAGAUACCCCUGUAGUC